GAUGAACGCUAGCGGGAGGCCUAACACAUGCAAGCCGAGCGGUAUUUGUUCUUCGGAACAGAGAGAGCGGCGCACGGGUGCGGAACACGUGUGCAACCUGCCUUUAUCUGGGGGAUAGCCUUUCGAAAGGAAGAUUAAUACCCCAUAAUAUGUUGAGUGGCAUCAUUUGAUAUUGAAAACUCCGGUGGAUAGAGAUGGGCACGCGCAAGAUUAGAUAGUUGGUGAGGUAACGGCUCACCAAGUCAAUGAUCUUUAGGGGGCCUGAGAGGGUGAUCCCCCACACUGGUACUGAGACACGGACCAGACUCCUACGGGAGGCAGCAGUGAGGAAUAUUGGACAAUGGGUUAGCGCCUGAUCCAGCCAUCCCGCGUGAAGGACGACGGCCCUAUGGGUUGUAAACUUCUUUUGUAUAGGGAUAAACCUACUCUCGUGAGAGUAGCUGAAGGUACUAUACGAAUAAGCACCGGCUAACUCCGUG
RNAcentral lists this ribosomal RNA (479 nucleotides) under uncultured bacterium. Its description in RNAcentral is "partial 16S ribosomal RNA". It matches the Rfam family "Bacterial small subunit ribosomal RNA", at positions 28 to 507 of the family's 1533-position model. The record is from RNAcentral.